This 2463-nucleotide ribosomal RNA is filed under the name Triticum aestivum (bread wheat). Its description in RNAcentral is "partial small subunit ribosomal RNA". Lineage: Eukaryota; Viridiplantae; Streptophyta; Magnoliopsida; Poales; Poaceae. The record is from RNAcentral.
AUGCUCCUUCCAUCCAUGGCUCCUCUCGUCUUCCUACUCCUAUUCGGCCAAAUCCUACUCUGCACAGCCGUCGACACCAUCACCUCCACCACACCGUUGUCCGGGUCACAGCAGAUUGUGUCCCAGGGCGGCAAAUUCACCUUGGGCUUCUACUCCCCACCGCAAGGUAACACCACCUCUAGCAAUUACUACAUAGCCAUAUGGUACAGCAACAUACCACUGCCAACCACCGUGUGGACGGCAACCACCAACGUGCCGGUGUCUGACCCGACCACCGCCUCCUUGGAAAUCACCAGCGACGGCAACCUUGUCCUCCUUGAUCAAGCCAAGAACCGACUGCUAUGGUCGACCAAUGUAAGUAUAGCAUCCAACUCCACCGUGGCCACCAUCAGGGACAGUGGUAGCCUCGAGCUCAUUGAUGCCUCCAAUUCAUCGAUAGUUUACUGGCAAAGCAUAGACCAUCCAACAAACACCUUGCUUCCAGGGGUAAAGCUCGGGCUGAACAAAAUCACUGGUGUUAGCCAGAGGCUUGUUGCUUGGAAGAGUGAGGCAGAUCCAUCUCCUGGGUUGUUCUCGCUGGAGCAUGACCCAAACGGCACACCACUUUAUUUCGCGCAGUGGAAUGAUUCCAUAAGCUACUGGGCUAGUACCCCUUGGGACUUCGAUCUCCCGGGGAUGGUGGCCUUGCGAUUCGUCAACAGCUCCACAGAAAGUUACCUCUUGUACUCGACGAAAGACGACUCGGUCAUCACACACAUCAUCAUCGACAUUAGCGGGCAGCUCAGGUUGUUGACAUGGCUGGAUUCCUCACAGCAGUGGAUAUUGAUCUGGACCCAGCCACAUACGGAGUGUGAGGUGUAUGCGCGCUGUGGGGCAUACGGCAGCUGCAACCUCAAUGCCCUGCCGUUCUGCAACUGUGUCAAGGGGUUCAGUCAGAAUGACUGGGACCUUGACGAUUACAGUGGUGGGUGCAAGAGGAACACACCAUUGCAGUGCCAGACCCACUCGACUUCUGCACAUUCUCGGUCUGAUAAGUUCUAUGCCAUGGAAGAUGUGAGGGUACCUGCUAAUGCUCGGGGUGCAGUGGCAACAAGCUCUCAGGAAUGUCAGGUGGCUUGUCUGAAAAAUUGCUCCUGCUCUGCUUACACUUACAAUUACACUGGGUGCUUUGUUUGGCAUGGGGACCUGCAGGUUAACCUCGGAGAAGGAUACAGCAAAUUUUUUGGAGAUGGCACAUUCUUCCUCAGGCUUGCAGCAUCCGAGCUACCAGAUCAGCAAAGGAAGAAAACAACGAUCAUUGGCUCAGUUAUUGGUGGAGUUGCUGCAUUUUUUAUAAUCCUUGCAAUUGUGUUGUUCUUUCUAUCUCGGACGUGCCGCCGAGACAGGACUUUUUGGAUAUCCAAGACUGCUGGGGCCGCACUGACUGACUUCAGAUACAGUGAUCUGCUGGAUGAUAUUCAAAGCAUUGAUUCACUUCUUCUCGAUCUGUUAACUCUAAGAGUGGCUACAAAUGACUUUGGCGAAGGAACUAUGCUUGGUAAAGGAGGUUUUGGAAUGGUUCAUAAGGGAGUCCUACCUGACGGUAAACAAAUAGCAGUAAAAAGGCUAUCUCACAGUUCCAGACAAGGAAUAGGUGAACUGAAAAGUGAACUAGUCCUUGUUGCUAAGCUUCGCCACAGGAAUCUUGUGAGCCUAAUUGGCGUUUGUUUGGAAGAACAAGAGAAAAUACUUGUGUAUGAAUUUAUGCCCAACAGAAGCCUUGAUACCAUUCUUUUUGAUGUUGAGAAACGCAAAGACCUAGAUUGGGGAAGGAGGUUCAAGAUUAUCAGUGGAGUUGCUAGGGGAUUACAAUAUCUCCACGAAGAUUCUCAAUUGAAGAUAGUUCACCGGGACCUGAAAGCAAGCAACAUUCUGUUGGACUUUGAUUACAACCCUAAGAUUUCUGAUUUUGGCUUGGCAAAGAUAUUUGGAGGGGAUCAAUCAGAAGAUGUCACUAGACGUAUUGCCGGGACAUAUGGAUACAUGUCGCCUGAAUAUGCCAUGCAUGGUCAAUACUCAGCAAAAUCGGAUGCGUUCAGCUUCGGCGUUUUGGUUUUGGAGAUCGUCACGGGAAGAAGAAACAACGGCUCCUGCAACUCCGAGCAAUAUGUUUAUCUCGUAAAUCUUGUAUGGGAACACUGGACCAGGGGAAAUGUCGUCGAGUUGAUCGAUCCAUCCCUUAGCGGCCAUCCUUCUCACGUUGACCAGGUGCUGAAAUGCAUCCGAACCGGGCUGCUGUGUGUGCAGAACAGACCUGAAGAUAGGCCGGCAAUGUCGUCGGUAAAUGCCAUGCUUACCAGCCAGAGUGUCCGUCUCCCUUCUGUUUCCAUGCCAGCCUUCUGUGACAGAUUGAGUGGAUGCAGUGAUAAUUCAGAAUCGGAGUCUUCGAAUGGAAUGACCAUCACAAAGCUUGAGCCAAGAUGA